Molecule: non-coding RNA, 73 nt
Organism: Bos taurus (domestic cattle)
Lineage: Eukaryota; Metazoa; Chordata; Mammalia; Artiodactyla; Bovidae
Source: Rfam
UCCCCAGGGAUCCAGUGGUGAAGACGCUGCACUUCUAAUGCAGGGAGUGCAGGUUCAAUCCCUGGCUGGGGAA